Chenopodium quinoa (quinoa) is the source of this 788-nucleotide long non-coding RNA. RefSeq lists it as uncharacterized. The transcript is spliced from 3 exons. Lineage: Eukaryota; Viridiplantae; Streptophyta; Magnoliopsida; Caryophyllales; Amaranthaceae. The record is from RefSeq and is a predicted model, not a curated record.
GAUUUUUCCCCCAAAUUCAAGCAAAAUGAUAGCAAUUUCUCUAUCCUCUUUCAUUUGCACGUAACUUUUUCCUCCUUUAUUUUCUCUCUCCUACUUUCUCUCUCUUACUUUCCCAAUUCUUCUACCAAUUUCAUGACACUAAUUCAAAUCUAGCUUCAAUUACUUUGAUUUUCAACAAUUUCUUAGCUCUACAAUCUAUUAUCAAUAAAUCGUUGAUUAAGCAGACGAUAACUCGAAUUGAAGUUGUCCGACGAAAACGAAACGCGACGCAGAAGUUUUGGAGGAAAGACAUUGUUGAUCUGGUUGCUAAUGGCCUCGAGAAGAACGCUUAUGGAAGACUCGGAUUGGUGUUUGGUCAGUGGCGCAGCGGCCGAGAUUUGGUACAGUGGCGAGCUAAUGGUUGCAGGUGGUUGUGCGAUUGGAGGUGGAGCUACUUGAGUGAUAGCCUGAUAGGCUUACAUAUAUUUUGGCAUGUGGUGACAUAGGAGUAGUUAUCUUAUUUUUAUAUAUAGUGAACUUUGGGUAAACGGUUGUAACCUUGUUUCUAUAUAUAGUGACCUUUGUGGCUUUGUGUAUAUAUCAUCAAAAUAGUUAUACUUUAAUAUAGUUAGGUUUUUUUUUUUUUUUUUUUUUUAGUGACCUCUGGGUAAAUGGUGUCAAAUUGAUAUAAAUAUCCCAAGUUUAUACAUAGCUACCUUAUUUUUGUAUAUAAUGUCCUAAGCAUCAUGGAUACGUUGUAAAAUUUGUUUCAGUCAGCUUAUUUUUGUAUAUAGCAAUUUUUAUGUAAA